This 227-nucleotide long non-coding RNA is filed under the name Lathyrus oleraceus (garden pea). RNAcentral describes it as "Pisum sativum (pea) long non-coding RNA (PSAT_LNC011951)". The record is from RNAcentral. Lineage: Eukaryota; Viridiplantae; Streptophyta; Magnoliopsida; Fabales; Fabaceae.
UUUUGUCAAAAUAAUAAAAAUAAGGGGGUUAAAAAAUAAAUCAAAAGAAAAAAUGAAAUAAAAUAAACAAAAUAACAUAAAAAAUAAAAAUAAUGGUCAGGGUGCACUCCUGAGGUUCGAACCCCAACCUUGGGGUCAUGGGGGAGACUUUCCCCUCACCCACUGGGCCAAUUGCCUAGACAUUGUCAACAAUGCAUGCUAAAUGAAUAAAUAAUAAAAUAACAAAG